Molecule: transfer RNA, 83 nt
Filed under: Tetraselmis sp. CCMP 881
Lineage: Eukaryota; Viridiplantae; Chlorophyta; Chlorodendrophyceae; Chlorodendrales; Chlorodendraceae
Description: tRNA-Tyr
Rfam family: tRNA
About the family: Transfer RNA (tRNA) molecules are approximately 80 nucleotides in length. Their secondary structure includes four short double-helical elements and three loops (D, anti-codon, and T loops).
Source: RNAcentral
GGGAAAGUGGCUGAGCGGUUUAAAGCGGCAGACUGUAAAUCUGUUGAAUUUUUUCAUCGUAAGUUCGAAUCUUACCUUUCCCA